AGAGGAAAAAGCAGGACAUAUACAAAAAACAAAAACAAGGAGCAGCAGAAAAAAGAAAAGGAGACUGCGACUCAAACAGGAAAAGAGGAAGACACCACACAAGAAACUAAAGCAGUAGGAAGAGGUUAUGUGGCAGAAAGAGGAAGAAGCCAAACACAAAAAAUAAAAAGAGGCACCCUAGCAUAAACAGAAAGAGGCAAUGGAGUUGAAGAAGGAAGCAGCACUGUGGGAGAAGAAGGAGGAGGACCAGUGGGAAAAAGAGGAAAAGGAAUUGUUGCUUAAACAGAUAGAGGCAAUAGAGCUGGGGGGGGGGGGGGGGGGGGGGGGGGGGGGGGGGGGGGGGGGGGGGGGGGGGGGGGGGGGGGGGGGGGGGGGGGGGGGGGGGGGGGGGGGGGGGGGGGGGGGGGGGGGGGGGGGGGGGGGGGGGGGGGGGGGGGGGGGGGGGGGGGGGGGGGGGGGGGGGGGGGGGGGGGGGGGGGGGGGAAUAGAGCUAAGGGAGGAAGAAGCACUGUGGGAGAAAGAGGACCUCUGGGAGACAAAGGAAGAGAUGCUGUGGUUCAAAAAGCAGCAGGAACUGUGGCAGAAAGAUUUCCAGAUUUUGUGGCAAAAAGAGCAAGAAGCACUUCAGAUGAAAGAGCAAAGGGAUCUCUGCUGGAAGAAACAACAGGUACUGGCUUGGAAAAAGUACGAGGCACUACAAUGGGAACGGCAAGAAGUAUUGCGACGGGAACAGCAAGAGACAAUGCGUUGGAAGCAGCAAAAGGUAAUACAACACAUAAAGCACGAGGAAUCAUGGUGCAAAAAUCAAGAAAAGCUUCGCCAAAAAGAACGACUGGAGCUGCAGCGAAAAGAACAUGAGGCAGCGAAGUGGAAAGGGAAAGAGCUAUCACGACAUAACGGUCAAAAAGAUCUGAGGUUCAAUGAUGGCAGUCAUGGAACUUGGAAAGAACAACCUCAGCAGCCGUGGUACCAAGGGCAACACAAACUGCGACAGAAAGAGAAAGAUGAACCGCAGUGGAAAGGGGAAGAACUGCAGCAAGAGAAGUACCAGCUUUUUGAGGAGUUGAAGAAGGUUCCCAUGAGGAAAGGCCUACCAACUCCACCACCGUCCAAAGUGAACCAGUCCCACAAAUCACAAGGGAAAGGAGUCAUCUUUAUGGCUGCUGGAGAGGAGGACAACAUGUUCCCAGAUUAUAAUAACUGCAUUUAUAUCCACGGAGGAUGGAUAAAAGGAAACAUCCCUGGCUCGAAGGCUAUAAAAAAACAAAUGAAGAGGAUGAAGAACAAGUGAGAAUCUGAGUGAGUUUUGAGAUUUUCUGACAAUUUCCUUUCCAUUACGAAUAACUGAGAUAAGCACAAAUCUUUUUGUCGCUGAAUCCCAUAAA
RNAcentral lists this long non-coding RNA (1385 nucleotides) under Eptatretus burgeri (inshore hagfish). RNAcentral's name for it is "lncRNA (ENSEBUG00000017371.1)". The record is from RNAcentral. Lineage: Eukaryota; Metazoa; Chordata; Myxini; Myxiniformes; Myxinidae.